UUUUUGAAAAUAAUUUAAAGUCUAAUCUGCCCACUGAUGAAAAUUAAAGGGCUGCAGUAUUUUGACUGUACAAAGGUAGCAUAAUCAUUAGUUUUUUAAUUGAAAACUUGUAUGAAAGAUUUAAUGAAAUAUAUACUGUCUCAAAUUUAUUAUUAAAAAUUUAUUUUUUAGUUAAAAAGCUAAAAUAUUUUUAAAAGACGAGAAGACCCUAUAGAGUUUUAUAUUUAUUUUUAUUAAAAAGUUAUAUAAAAAUUAAUAUUAAAAUAAAAUAAAAUAUUAUAUUGGGGUGAUAGAAAAAUUAAAUUAACUUUUUUUAAUAAAUUAAUAUUAAUAAAUAAGUAAAUGAUCCAUAAAUAAUGAUUAAAAGAAAAAAUUACCUUAGGGAUAACAGCGUAAUUUUUUUUUUUAGUUCGAAUAAGAAAAAAAGUUUGCGACCUCGAUGUUGGAUUAAGAUAAAAUUUAAAUGCAAAAGUUUAAAAUUUUGAUCUGUUCGAUCAUUAAAAUCUUACAUGAUCUGAGCUCAAACCG
This 528-nucleotide ribosomal RNA is filed under the name Ypthima baldus A SG-2012. Its description in RNAcentral is "partial 16S ribosomal RNA". The stretch from base 384 to 528 matches the Rfam family "Bacterial large subunit ribosomal RNA", at positions 2473 to 2618 of the family's 2925-position model. Lineage: Eukaryota; Metazoa; Arthropoda; Insecta; Lepidoptera; Nymphalidae. The record is from RNAcentral.